UUAAGAAAACCGGCACUAGAAAUC
RNAcentral lists this microRNA (24 nucleotides) under Zea mays. RNAcentral describes it as "microRNA miR-3259". The record is from RNAcentral. Lineage: Eukaryota; Viridiplantae; Streptophyta; Magnoliopsida; Poales; Poaceae.